This 543-nucleotide long non-coding RNA is filed under the name Pongo abelii (Sumatran orangutan). Its description in RNAcentral is "lncRNA (ENSPPYG00000032185.1)". Lineage: Eukaryota; Metazoa; Chordata; Mammalia; Primates; Hominidae. The record is from RNAcentral.
UGCAGCUUUGCGGUUUCUGUUCGGUUCUCAGUUCGGGGAGGCUUAAUCCAGGACCGGCUGAUCUCUAUCCUGGGCUCCCAGUCCUAUGUGUCCCUGAGAGGAAGAGACUGACAUCAGAUCUGGUAGGACGUGAUACUCUUCAAUCUUGUCACCAUAACUUUCUCCUGGAGCCAUGGAAGCAUUAUUCAUAAUAACAAAGACCAGGAAUCAACCUAGGUGCUGUGCAAAGGGCACCCAGAGUGCUGGCGAGAGACCAGAAGAGGCACUACCACCCCCCAACAGAGCAAUUUCUCCAGCAACCACGAGGGCACAGAGGGCAGGGUCUCUCCUCUACACCAUGCUUGGUUGGACACUGCCUAGUUAUGAUUCCUUGGGAUUUCCAUAGCCCAAGCUGACCACUUCCCUUUCUGUCCAACCUUCCCCCACACCAACACCUUACAACACAAUUGAUUAAAUGCCUUCUACUAAAUGAUGUUCAUAUUCUGGAUCUGCCUUCCUCUGAUUACACCCAAAUCAUUUACUUUGAUUGCAGUCUUCUGAGGU